GACGAACGCUGGCGGCGUGCCUAACACAUGCAAGUCGAGCGAGUGAAUCUCCUUCGGGAGUGAAGCUAGCGGCGGACGGGUGAGUAACACGUGGGCAACCUGCCUCAUAGAGGGGAAUAGCCUUUCGAAAGGAAGAUUAAUACCGCAUAAGAUUGUAGCUUCGCAUGAAGUAGCAAUUAAAGGAGCAAUCCGCUAUGAGAUGGGCCCGCGGCGCAUUAGCUAGUUGGUGAGGUAACGGCUCACCAAGGCGACGAUGCGUAGCCGACCUGAGAGGGUGAUCGGCCACAUUGGGACUGAGACACGGCCCAGACUCCUACGGGAGGCAGCAGUGGGGAAUAUUGCACAAUGGGGGAAACCCUGAUGCAGCAACGCCGCGCGAGUGAUGACGGCCUUCGGGUUGUAAAGCUCUGUCUUCAGGGACGAUAAUGACGGUACCUGAGGAGGAAGCCACGGCUAACUACGUGCCAGCAGCCGCAGUAA
Molecule: ribosomal RNA, 480 nt
Filed under: uncultured bacterium
Lineage: Bacteria
Description: partial 16S ribosomal RNA
Rfam family: Bacterial small subunit ribosomal RNA
Source: RNAcentral